UUGGAGGGCAAGUCUGGUGCCAGCAGCCGCGGUAAUUCCAGCUCCAAUAGCGUAUAUUAAAGUUGUUGCAGUUAAAAAGCUCGUAGUUGAAUUUCGGGGUUAGUAGGUUGGUCAUGCCUCUGGUAUGUACUGGUCUCACUGAUUCCUCCUUCCUGAUGAGCCGUAAUGCCAUUAAUUUGGUGUUGCGGGGAAUUUGGACUGUUACUUUGAAAAAAUUAGAGUGUUUAAAGCAGGCUAACGCUUGAAUACAUUAGCAUGGAAUAAUGAAAUAGGACGUUCGAUCUUAUUUUGUUGGUUUCUAAGAUUGACGUAAUGAUUAAUAGGGAUAGUUGGGGGCAUUAGUAUUCAAUUGUCAGAGGUGAAAUUCUUGGAUUUAUUGAAGACUAACUACUGCGAAAGCAUUUGCCAAGGAUGUUUUCAUUAAUCAAGAACGAAAGUUAGGGGAUCGAAGACGAUCAGAUACCGUCGUAGUCUUAACCAUAAACUAUGCCGACUAGGGAUCGGAUGAUGUUAAUUUUUUAAUGACUCAUUCGGCGCCUUACGGGAAAC
RNAcentral lists this ribosomal RNA (549 nucleotides) under uncultured Glomus. Its description in RNAcentral is "SSU rRNA". It matches the Rfam family "Eukaryotic small subunit ribosomal RNA", at positions 548 to 1098 of the family's 1831-position model. The record is from RNAcentral. Lineage: Eukaryota; Fungi; Glomeromycota; Glomeromycetes; Glomerales; Glomeraceae.